Aedes albopictus (Asian tiger mosquito) is the source of this 1056-nucleotide long non-coding RNA. RefSeq lists it as uncharacterized. NCBI's taxonomy places the organism in Eukaryota, Metazoa, Arthropoda, Insecta, Diptera, Culicidae. The transcript is spliced from 2 exons. The record is from RefSeq and is a predicted model, not a curated record.
GUAACCGUUCGUUACAAAUGUUUAGUAUUUUUUUAAUUUGUGCUCUUGUUAUGUGAACAGUCACGUCUCUAGCGUUAAGUGGUGUUGGAUUAGGAUAGCGUUAUUUAGAAAAAGGGUUUUAAGUGUUAAAAAGAUUAGUCAAAUGUAAAAAUAUGUAACUAAAAUUGUUAGUGGAUUAGGCGUGAUUUUGAAUGUACAUGAAAACAGAUAAGAGGGUAGAUUGCAUGCAAGCUAUGGAUUAAGGACAAAAAUGGCUGAAACGAUAAGUGGACCUACAGGCGCAUUACGUUAAAUAGGUGGUAACAACCCCCAACCCAAAUUGAGGUAAAUUGAAGAAGGGAGGAAAAUUGUAUAAGGGGGUCGGGCCAAGUUGAAGAAGCGCCAUUGCCCCAAUCUGUUAAAGGCGUUCGUGUGCUCCAGGUGUCGUUCUAAAGUGUCCAAGUAACGAAAAGUGAGUGGUAUUUCUUAAAUCGGGAGAGAAACUUGAAGUCAUCAGGACCUUUUUCUGUUUGCCUUAAAAUCGCCAUUUUGUCUGGUCUGGCGUGCCAUACCAGGAGCAUUCGUUUCGGCAUAGUAGACCUAGUCUGCUACGCCUAACCCGUCAAGGAUCGUCGUAGGCCUCUGGUCAGAUUGGCCAUAAUCGUAAAGGAGGUCCACAGCUCGGGGUUGACACCCCUAAACGUUAAAGAGCUCUUACCCCUCUCGGCACGGUCACUCCGGUACCGUCCUGGGCCGUGUCGAUUGCCGUCAAAGAGGGAAGACGCCUUACCGUCGGUCGAGGAACCGACCCCCUUCGACAAUCGCCAAAAUUGUCGUAGUAACGUACUCACCAGUCCGUCCAGCAAGUACCUCAGCGAGCGCUCGCAGGACUCCCAAGGAACGUCGGCAGCAGCAGGAAGCAGUAAGCCGUACCGGUACGUGAACAAAAAAAAACCAUUAUACCUACCCACAACUACACAGUUUAUAAUAGUCCAAAUAGAUCCUCUAAAACCCUCAAUAGUUUAGCUUGCAACAAUAGACUAAAUCGCUCAAUAAAUCACUAGUUUUUCCUUCAAA